AUGGAACAGCAGCAAAGUAGUCUUCCAGUAUCUGAAGACAUUGUCUUCAAAUGUGGCGACAUUCCAGCUAAAGAGAGGCCUGCAGUGGAGCCAUUUGACCCAUCUAAAGUUGACCCAUGCAAAGGACAACCAUCUGGUGGUGGUGACAAAGAACCAAAGUCAUCUGGGCAAUCUGAUGGUAAUGAUCAAGAAGCAAAGACAUCUGGACCAUCUGAUGGUUAUGGUUGUGAUGACAUCCCGGGGAAUAAUCAUGAUGGUGAAAAAGACAACGAGAAUGAUCAUGAUAGCAACCCCGUACCAAGUACGAUUAGUAAAAUAACUGCUCCUUUCAUGCUAAGAUUGAUCAUCGGCAAGAGAUGUGUGCAACCCUUAAGCAACCAUCCAUCUAUUCCUUCACUUUUUUCUAUCAGUGGGAGUGGAAACCAUAAUUCGGUUCCUUUAGUUAGACCUGGUUUGCAUGAGGUGCCAGAACUGAUUAAUGGGAGUGAAACUGGUUGGGUUAAGAAUUUUGUUGAGCGAUGUAGGGCUAAUUUGAUCAGCAAACCUNNNNNNNNNNNNNNNNNNNNNNNNNNNNNNNNNNNNNNNNNNNNNNNNNNNNNNNNNNNNNNNNNNNNNNCCCUCCUGGAAAUAUUUGCUGUUCACACCAACCUAUGCAAGGUCAACACCAUUGGAGUUUAUGAUGAUCGAGGUGGUGUUUUAAUCUACAAGUACAAGAACAGAGAAAAGGAACAAUUUAUUGAGAAAAGAAACCGUUGGCAGUCAAAAAAUAUAGGAAGAGACCCUUAUGAUUUUAUGGUUAAACUUGUUCUCAUUGGCCCGAGCCGUGCUAUGUCAGCUUAUGCGGAUGGCUGGCUCAUCGAAGUUGAUGUGCCGCCAGAAUCCUCUUUGCUGCCUGAAAACCACGCAACAAAGAAAAUAGCUGGUGGAGUAUUCAAAAUGUCAUUAGAUCUGGAUGAUGACUUCCUCGACAAACCUAGGACUAGUAUCAUCUUCGCCAGAGGGGGAUUUGUGCAUUUCACCUAUGUGGUUUUCAAUAAUGCAGUCAAAGCUUCAGUUACAUUUAUGCUCCAUGCUCGUUGCCAAGAUAAUCUCCAAUUUGUUUGUCACUGUAAAGUGCAGGGUGAGCUGACAUUACAUGUUGGAAACCUUCCCAUCGGAUGCACUGUUUUCAUAAAUCAAGUUGAGGAUGAAGCCGUGUAUUUCAUGCCAUGCGAGAGUUUCAGAGAGAAUUGUCUAGGAUUAAAGCUUCCCUUAACCCGGAAUGUUCUUGCUUUACCUAUUGGAUCUCUUGUCUGUGCUAAGGGUACUUUGAUGGUGGGGAAUGAUAUGUCAAUGGUUGUAGAUCAGUCUUUUGUGCUCGAAGGAUAUACUUCCCAGACUCAGUGGCAGGUGGAUCAGUCUUUCGAUGCUACUAUAUGCAUCGUGUCAAGUUCUCUCUUCAUGGAGUGGUAA
This 1452-nucleotide ribosomal RNA is filed under the name Triticum aestivum (bread wheat). RNAcentral describes it as "partial small subunit ribosomal RNA". Lineage: Eukaryota; Viridiplantae; Streptophyta; Magnoliopsida; Poales; Poaceae. The record is from RNAcentral.